This 254-nucleotide ribosomal RNA is filed under the name uncultured bacterium. Its description in RNAcentral is "partial 16S ribosomal RNA". It matches the Rfam family "Bacterial small subunit ribosomal RNA", at positions 524 to 776 of the family's 1533-position model. The record is from RNAcentral.
UACGGAGGAUCCAAGCGUUAUCCGGAAUUACUGGGCGUAAAGAGUUGCGUAGGUGGCAGAGUAAGUAGAUAGUGAAAUCGUGUGGCUCAACCAUAUAUCCAUUAUCUAAACUGCUCAGCUAGAGGAUGAGAGAGGUUAUUGGAAUUCCCAGUGUAGGAGUGAAAUCCGUAGAUAUUGGGAGGAACACCGAUGGCGUAGGCAGAUAACUGGCUCACUCCUGACACUCAGGCACGAAAGCGUGGGGAGCAAACGGG